This is a non-coding RNA of Camellia sinensis, 912 nucleotides long. The record is from RefSeq and is a predicted model, not a curated record. Lineage: Eukaryota; Viridiplantae; Streptophyta; Magnoliopsida; Ericales; Theaceae.
UUUUUUUUUUUUUGGUUGUGUUUUUGAAAAAAUAAAAAUUGAAAAAAAGAAAAGAUAAAAAAAAUUUCAUUAUUAUCCAUAUACGUUGCCUUGAUGAUUAAUUAUACUUCCAGACUUUAAAUAAUUUUAAUUUUACUCUUAAAGUUUUUAAAAUCAUAUUCAUUUGCCUUCUACUGCCAUAUUUAAACAGAAAAAGUCAAAAAAAAAUUUAUAUGUGAAUUCAAAUUUCAAAACAAAGAUGCAAACUCACCUUCUCAUUAUUUCCCUAAAUUACCCAAAUCCCUCGGCCACUCCUCCCUUCUCCACCGUCAUCUUCCCCGCCACCACCACCACCAAGAAGCCCUUUGCUCUCACUAUAUACAUCAAAUCGUCUCUAUCAACACAAGACACAGUAAUACAUGACUCAAUCUGGGUUUGAAUCUGAUUCGAUUCAUCAAAUCGUCUCUAUCAACACAAGAAACAAAUAAUACAUGACUCAAAAGGUUCGAGCCGUACUUGAAGAAUGCUUGCAAGAGAUUUGUGAUGAAAAAAAACCGACAUUCAUCAUCGAUGAUAACCCUAACAAGGACAUCAUUGUGUUCUAUUAUUGUCCCCAAUCUCCUUACAAAAGUCAAACUUUCGUAUUGUGUUGUUUUGCCUCCAAUUCCCUACUAAAUUAAAAAAAAACUUUUGGGUAAGGAUUUGAAUCCUGUUGAUGUUGGGAAACUGGUAGCGAUGGGUGGCGUCGUCACUCGCACCAGUGAGGUUAGACCAGAGCUUCUCCAGGGAAGUUCUGCGAAUUUGGAACCAAACGACGGGGGCUCGGUGAAAUUUGAAAUUUGAGGUGAAAAUGUAAUUUUUUUUGAAUUUUUUCCCUUUAAAUGUAGCGGUACAUUUUUAAAAAUUUUGAAAAUAAAAUUAAAGUUAUAAGUA